RNAcentral lists this ribosomal RNA (253 nucleotides) under uncultured bacterium. RNAcentral describes it as "partial 16S ribosomal RNA". It matches the Rfam family "Bacterial small subunit ribosomal RNA", at positions 524 to 776 of the family's 1533-position model. The record is from RNAcentral.
UACGUAGGGUGCAAGCGUUAAUCGGAAUUACUGGGCGUAAAGCGUGCGCAGGCGGUUGUGCAAGACAGAGGUGAAAUCCCCGAGCUUAACUUGGGAACUGCCUUUGUGACUGCACGGCUAGAGUGUGUCAGAGGGGGGUAGAAUUCCACGUGUAGCAGUGAAAUGCGUAGAGAUGUGGAGGAAUACUGAUGGCGAAGGCAGCCCCCUGGGAUAACACUGACGCUCAUGCACGAAAGCGUGGGGAGCAAACAGG